RNAcentral lists this non-coding RNA (132 nucleotides) under Nematostella vectensis (starlet sea anemone). Its description in RNAcentral is "5' ureB small RNA". It matches the Rfam family "5' ureB small RNA", at positions 16 to 160 of the family's 292-position model. The record is from Rfam by way of RNAcentral. Lineage: Eukaryota; Metazoa; Cnidaria; Anthozoa; Actiniaria; Edwardsiidae.
GAGGGCAGAUGAAGUGGAUGUGAGCGUCCAUCCCACCAGCAGUUAGGACCAGUCCUUCUCCAGCUAUAGCUUCAGUCCCGACACCGACAACCAUUCCCUGAAAGGCAACGAGACAAAAUUGUUACUAUUUUC